ACAUAGGCCAUCAGGUCCCAGUUCAGAAUGGCCUUUUAUGAACUCCAGGGUCCAGAGACAUUUCCAGGCUUCAUGGAACACACGCAUACAUACAGUUUUCUUUUUCUACAAUCUGGUCUUUUGAGAUAGUCUCUCUACAUAUCACAGGUUGGCUGUAAACUCCCAAUUUUCCAACUUCAUCCUCCCCUGUGCUCUGUUAGGCGAACGUCCCUCCCGCGUCCUUGACUCUGGUUGGGGAGUUGCCCUAGCAGAAGCGGUAAAGAACGUGUGAGUACUAACCAGCUUGAGCCUCCUGUACCCCAAGCCAAUCUUGGGAAGCUUCGCUGGUGGUUUGAGCAACUUUUGCACUUCCAUAGGGUUCUGCCUCCCGAUCCUACUGUCUACUAUCUAGAGGACCUCAGGGUCCCCCUUUAGUUUCCCUGUCCUAACGGGAUUUGACCCUCCUUUGACGGUUACUCUUGUGCUCAAUCUCCGCCCGCCCAGACCUGCGGUGCACGCCCUCGCGGCUUCCCACCUGCACACGCACAGCCUCCUCCUCGGCCAGGCCCACCGGGUGGCCGCGGUGCGCACCCAGAACCGGGCAGAGCGCGCACACACAGCGGCCGCAGCGGCGACAGAAGAGCUCAGCCGGGCGUUCGCUGUGCUCCGGACAGCGCCAGCCAUACGCCCCGUCGGGCUGAAAGGGCGCCCGCGCCUCGGUAGUCUCGCUCGCCAUUCUCAGUGGCAACCGCUGUUCUCUGUGCAGUGUGGUCGGGUUGGGUUGGUGCAGAAAUCGAAACCUUGCUCGGGGAGGGGCGGGGCGGGGCGGGGCGGGCGACCCAGCUCCCAGUGGCAAACUGGAGGGGCGAUGACCUGCUGGAGAGUUGAUGCUUGGUCCCACCUAGUGCUGGAUCCGCGGCACAGCAUCCUUCCACUCUUUCUCACCUUGAGGAGGAGGAGGUCACUAUAGAUAGGAACGCGGGUGCUUGCACUGAUGGGCUCACUGGAAGGUUGGCUUCCCGCUUGUUGAUGAUGUUGGGCUUCUGGCAAACUGCGGAGGUGCGUAGUAGGUGGUGUGGCCUGCCCAGAGGGCCUACAUUUUCUACACCUCAUUUUGUUCUUUUCCUGUAGUGCUUCCUCCCUAUGGUCAGCCAUGUGGGGGCAGGUGGGGGUGAAGUUGGAACAUACUUCCAAGAAGCCCCAAUUAUCUUCAGGCUAAAACUUCAAAGCCCCAGGCCCUGAAGAUGUUCUGAUUUCUCUUGCCUUGAUGGGUGAAUGACCCACCCUGUUUCUAGCCGGGGCAUUUUGCAGUUCUUGCUUAAGGUAUAGCUGCUGCUCACUGUCCCCCAAUCACAUGGAGGUGUGGCUUAUCUCCUUCUUCAGGAAGCGUCCAUUCUCCACCCACAGCCGCCUGACCACCCUGCCCCAUCCUGCCCCUCACGAAUUCUCUCAAACACAAGUGGAAGCACUUCAAGGGUAUUCGGACCUUACUGACCAGUUUGCCAACCUGGUCCGGUAUCAUCUGGUCCAGACACCUAGUGCUAAAUUGGUACUUGUAGAACGAAUUAACAAAAAGGAAAUCGCCAAGCAUUGCAAUAUCGAGUCUGGUGUUAUUAUUUAUUAUUAUUUUGGUUGAGGCAGAGUCUUAGACUCCUUUGCCCAAGCUGGUCUGGAAUUUUCAAUCUUCCUGCCUCAGCCUUCCAUGAACUGGGAUUACAGGCAGGAAUUACCACCCACAGUAGAUUGUCAUAUUCUUACAUUGCACGAUUCUGUGUCUAUUUUAACUUUUAUUUCUUAAUUAUUUUUUUAUUUACUUUUUUACAAAGGUACAAGGAAUUUAAGAAACAUUCAAACAAUCACUCAAACGGCUUCAGGCACGGUUUCAUAUGAAAAGCAUAGGUCCGUAUCUUGAUUCCCGUUUCCCUCUGGGAUACAACCUCAAGUUUUGUUCUAGGAAGCAGAAUUAUUGUAGAGCUAAGGUGGGUACAAGCUCAUCUCCAAGCGUUCUCCCUCAUUCACACAAAGUUCCUGAGUCAUCAGAAAGAAAGCUCCCAAGGCAAGAAGGAAGGAGCCGAGGGCGGCUUUGCUGCUUGGGUGGUCACUGUGUCAGGGGGCAGUGUUGCUCCAUUAGCCCAAGAACAUAAAAACAUAAUCUUAAAAAAAUAUGACAAAAUCU
RNAcentral lists this long non-coding RNA (2155 nucleotides) under Mus musculus (house mouse). Its description in RNAcentral is "long non-coding RNA chr4:46535365-46537520". Lineage: Eukaryota; Metazoa; Chordata; Mammalia; Rodentia; Muridae. The record is from RNAcentral.